This 166-nucleotide ribosomal RNA is filed under the name uncultured bacterium. Its description in RNAcentral is "partial 16S rRNA". It matches the Rfam family "Bacterial small subunit ribosomal RNA", at positions 355 to 511 of the family's 1533-position model. The record is from RNAcentral.
UAGGGAAUCUUCGGCAAUGGACGGAAAGUCUGACCGAGCAGCGCCGCGUGAGUGAAGAAGGUUUUCGGAUCGUAAAACUCUGUUGGUAGAGAAGAACGUUGGUGAGAGUGGAAAGCUCAUCAAGUGACGGUAACUACCCAGAAAGGGACGGCUAACUACGUGCCAG